ACUUGAACUGUAUUCCCUUGUUCUCCAAGUAGGCGCCUGAUUGCUAAAACUUGCACUGUAUUCCCUUGUUCUCUAGGUGGGCUCCUGAUUGCUAAAACUUGAACUGUAUUCCCUUGUUUUCUGGGUGGGCGCCUGAUUGCCAAAGCUUGAAACUGUAUUACCUUCUUCUCUAGGUAGGUGCCUGAUUGCCGAAACAUGGACUGUAUUCCCUUGUUGUACAGGUGAGUACCUGAUUGCCAAAACUUGAAUUGAAUUCCCUUGUUUUCUAGAUGGGCACCUGAUUUCGAAAACUUGAAAUGUAUUCCCUUAUUCUCCAAGUUGGCGCCUGAUUGCUAAAACUUGGACUGUAUUCCCUUGUUCUCCAGGUGGGCGCCUGAUUGCCAAAACUUGAAUUGUAUUCCCUUGUUUUCCAGGUGAGCGCCUAAUUUCCAAAACUAGAAAUGUAUUCCCUUGUUCUCCAGGUGGGCGCCUGAGUGCCAAAGCUUGAAACUAUAUUACCUUGUUCUCUAGGUGGGUACCUGAUUGCCAAAACUCGAACUGUAUUCCCUUGUUCUCUAGGUGGGCGCCAUAUUGCCAAAACUUUAAUUGUAUUCCCUUGUUCUCCAGGUGGGCGCCUGAUUUCCAAAACAUGAAAUGUAUUCCUUUGUUCUCCAGGUGGGCGCCUGAUUGCUAAAACUUGAAUUGUAUUCCCUUAUUCUCCAGGUGGGCGCCUGAUUUCCAAAACUUGAAAUGUAUUCCCUUGUUCUCCAGGUGAGCGCCUGAUUGCCGAAAUAUUGACUGUAUUCCCUUGUUCUACAGGUGGGCUCCUGAUUGCCAAAACUUGAAUUGUAUUCCCUUGUUUUCAAAGUGGGCGCUUGAUUUCGAAAAAUUGAAAUGUAUUCCCUUAUUCUCUCCAGGUGGGCGCCUGAUUGCCAAAACUUGGAUUGUAUUUUCUUGUUCUCCAGGUGGGUGCCUGAUUACCAAAACUCUAAUUGUAUUCCCUUGUUUUCCAGGUGGGCGCCUAAUUUCCAAAACUAGAAAUGUAUUCCCUUGUUCUCCAGUUGGCGCCAGAGGGCCCAAACUUAGACUGUAUUCCUUUGUUCUCCAUGUGGGCACCUGGUUGCUAAAAUUUGAACUAUAUUCCUUUGUUCUCCGGGUGGGCGCCUGAUUGCAAAAACUUGAACUGUAUUCCCUUGUUCUCCAAGUAGGCGCCUGAUUGCUAAAACUUGCACUGUAUUCCCUCGUUCUCUAGGUGGGCGCCUGAUUGCUAAAACUUGAACUGUAUUCCCUUGUUCUCCAGGUGGACGCCUGAUUGUUAAAACUUAGACUGUAUUCCUUUGUUCUCCAGGUGGGCACCUGAUUGCUAAAACUUGAACUAUAUUCCUUUGUUCUCCAAGUGGGCACCCGAUUGCUAAAACUUGAACUGUAUUCCCUUGUUUUCUGGGUGGGCGCCUGAUUGCCAAAAAUUGAAUUGUAUUCCCUUGUACUCUAGGUGGGCGCCUGAUUGCUAAAACUUGAAAUGUAUUCCAUUGUUCUCCAGGUGGGCGUCUGAAUGCUAAAACUUGAAUUGUAUUCCCUUGUUUUGCAGGUGGGCGCCUGAUUUCCAAAACUUGAAAUGUAUUCCCUUGUUCUCCAGGUGGGCGCCUGAUUGCUAAAACUUAAGAUGUAUUCCCUUGUUCUCAAUGUGGGUGCCUGAUUGCUAAAACUUGAAUUGUAUUCCCUUGUUUUUUAGGCGGGCACCUGAUUUCCAAAUCCUGAAAUGUAUUCCCUUGUUCUCCAGGUGGGCGCCGGAUUGCCAAAACUUGGACUCUAUUCCCUUAUUUUCCAGGUGGGCACCUGAUUUCUAAAACAUGAAAUGUAUUCCCUUGUUCUCCAUGUGGGCGCCUGAUUGCCGAAACUUAGACUGUAUUCCUUUAUUUUUCAGGUGGGUGCCUGAUUGCUAAAACUUCAACUGUAUUCCCUUAUUCUCUAGGUGGGCGCCUGAUUGCCAAAAAUUGAAUUGUACUCCCUUGUUUUUCAGGUGGGCGCCUGAUUGCUAAAACAUGAAAUGUAUUCCAUUGUUCUCCAGGUGGGCGUCUGAAUGCUAAAACUUGAAUUGUAUUCCCUUGUUAUGCAGGUGGGCGCCUGAUUUCCAAAACUUGAAAUGUAUUCCCUUGUUCUCCAGGUGGACGCCUGAUUGCUAAAACAUGAACUGUAUUCCCUUGUUCUCCAAGUUGGCGCCUGAUUGCUAAAACUUGAUAUGUAUUCCCUUGUUCUCCAAGUGGGCACCCGAUUUCCAAAACUUGAAAUGUUUUCCCUUAUUUUACAGGUGGGCGCCUGAUUGCUAAAACUUGAACUCUAUUCCCUUGUUCUCCAGGUGGGCACUUGAUUGCCGAAACUUUAACUGUAUUCCUUUGUUCUCCAGGUGGGCGUCUGAUUGCCGAAACUUUAACUGUAUUCCUUUGUUCUCCAGGUGGGCGUCUGAUUGCCAAAACAUUAAUUGUAUUCCCUUAUUCUCUAGGUGGGCGCCUGAUUGCCAAAACUUGAACUUUAUUCCAUUGUUCUCUAGGUGGGCAUCUGAUUGCUAAAACUUGAAUUAUAUUCCCUUGUUUUGCAGGUAGGCGCCAGAUUUCCAAAAC
This 2597-nucleotide long non-coding RNA is filed under the name Nicotiana tabacum (common tobacco). RNAcentral's name for it is "long non-coding RNA (NTAB_LNC019540)". The record is from RNAcentral. Lineage: Eukaryota; Viridiplantae; Streptophyta; Magnoliopsida; Solanales; Solanaceae.